AGCGGGUUUUCAUCGCAGUGAUAUGACGCAUUCAAACCAUUUCUUAUCACCGGGUGUCAAUCAGCUAG
Molecule: microRNA precursor, 68 nt
Filed under: Caenorhabditis briggsae
Lineage: Eukaryota; Metazoa; Nematoda; Chromadorea; Rhabditida; Rhabditidae
Description: Cbr-Mir-36-o22_pre stem-loop
Source: RNAcentral